Long non-coding RNA from Empidonax traillii (willow flycatcher), 1292 nucleotides. RefSeq lists it as uncharacterized. The transcript has 2 exons. Lineage: Eukaryota; Metazoa; Chordata; Aves; Passeriformes; Tyrannidae. The record is from RefSeq and is a predicted model, not a curated record.
GAGGAGAAUUUGUCCAGUCCCCAGGUCAGGGUUGGAGGAGUGACCCCAGAAAGGAGAUGUGGUGCCCUCCAUAUUUCAGUGCCGAGCAUCCUGCCCAAUUCCAGAAGAGCUGAGAUGAUCCAGCUCCCAGUGAGGCAGGACAGGGAUGGAGAACAGAUUUCCCCACGGUCAGGAGCAGCUGCGUCACAUUUUUCCUCAAAAUCAUCUCUAGGACACAAAAAUUAGUGGAGAAAUGGGAACAAAAAAAAAAAAAAAACUCCAGACCUGAGUUGCUACCGGGAUCUCCCAGCCUGGAUCCCCCAUCCCGCUGGAUCGCGCUGCCGCUGGCACCGCUCGCACGGAGCACGAAGCCUCCAAAGCCUCGUGAUCAACUGUGUUGUUCUUUUUCAGCAGCCACGGUAUUUAUAAAUGGACCUUUCCAAGCCACAAGAGUGUGGUGGUGCCAGAGGUCCACGGUCAGGUGGAGAAAGGGCAGAGUCAGAGGAGGAAGAGGAGAAGGAGGAGGCUCUUGGAUGGUUUCCUCCUGCCUUGGAGGCAAAUGUUUCUCUUCAAGAUGGAACACGCCGGAACCUGCAAUGAGCCCUGGAGUUUGCUUUCCCAAAAGGAGCAGAAAAGGGUGAGUGAGGAGACAGAGCUCUUCCCAUGGGGAUAAAUACCCAGUUGAGUAACCCCCGUUUGAGUAACCCUAAUAACCCUCUUCCAUUAAUGCUCAGUACGAGCUGAGUCAUCAGCAGGAGAAUGUUCCUGCAUUUUCAGGAACAAACUGGGAUUUUACAGCCCAACUGGAUGAUGGCACUUAGGAAGCAAUCAGUUCCAUGUGCUCAUCCUCCCGACCUCAGGGGGCUGGAAAAGGUCUUGAGAUGGGCCCCCCAAAAAAGCCCUUCUGCUUUCAGCUGCCAGGGAAUGCUGAUGGCGAAUCCAAGGAACGUUCUCAUGGAGCAAUUGUGCAAGAGCAGGCUUGUCCAUUAGCUGUCAGACCUACCCAUGGUUAUAAAGCCCCAGGUGAAAGGGCUGGGAUGGAGCAGCCAGCUGAGGAAAAGGGGGGGAUAAUAAACUCGCUGAACACCGCGGAGGAGAAAGGCUGCCAUGAGUAUCAGAUUGGACAUGAUAAACUCAACCACCGAGGGAACCAACCAAUUACUGGGAGAAAAAGGACAUGAUGUAGGAGGUCGGGGUGGAUUGUCCUGCUGUGGAUGUGCCAAGGUCAAGGAGAAGGAAAAACAAGCCCGACCAAGGCGUGGCGGCAGCGAAGGAGUCACCGGCCUCCCCUACUCCUCACAUUCUUUGAAUAG